AGUGAACGCUGGCGGUAGGCCUAACACAUGCAAGUCGAACGGCAGCACAGUAAGAGCUUGCUCUUACGGGUGGCGAGUGGCGGACGGGUGAGGAAUACAUCGGAAUCUACUUUUUCGUGGGGGAUAACGUAGGGAAACUUACGCUAAUACCGCAUACGACCUACGGGUGAAAGCAGGGGAUCUUCGGACCUUGCGCGAUUGAAUGAGCCGAUGUCGGAUUAGCUAGUUGGCGGGGUAAAGGCCCACCAAGGCGACGAUCCGUAGCUGGUCUGAGAGGAUGAUCAGCCACACUGGAACUGAGACACGGUCCAGACUCCUACGGGAGGCAGCAGUGGGGAAUAUUGGACAAUGGGCGCAAGCCUGAUCCAGCCAUACCGCGUGGGUGAAGAAGGCCUUCGGGUUGUAAAGCCCUUUUGUUGGGAAAGAAAAGCAGCAGGUUAAUACCCCGCUGUUCUGACGUACCCAAAGAAUAAGCACCGGCUAACUUCGUG
RNAcentral lists this ribosomal RNA (491 nucleotides) under uncultured bacterium. RNAcentral describes it as "partial 16S ribosomal RNA". It matches the Rfam family "Bacterial small subunit ribosomal RNA", at positions 29 to 507 of the family's 1533-position model. The record is from RNAcentral.